AAAUUCUUUAUACUAUAUAAAACAAGAUCAAUAUCUUUAAUCUAAAAUUUUAAUGUCGUAUUAUCAUGUUUUGUAAGAUUUUUAUUUUCAGCCGUUGAUUUUGAGUCCCUUCUUUCACUAGGCAAAUAAUAUUAAAAAAUCGCAUAAUUUAUUUUCUAACUGUUUCAAAUACUCUAGAUCAAGUUUAACGGAGCCGAUCGACGAUUCGAAAGUCGCAAUAUGAAACACAACAUGGAAGCACGGAAGGCUCCGUGCUUCCAGAAGCAUAGUAGCCUUACUCUCUCUCUCUCUCUCUCUCUCUCUCUCUCUCUCUCUCUUUCUCUCUCUCUCUCUCUAUAUAUAUAUAUAAAGAGAGUUUGACUGGGCUACUAUCGGUAGUGAACUGCUCGGUUUACUACCGAUUUGUUUUUGAUGAUAGAGCUUCCAAAUCGACGAUCGGCACCGUUGAACAUAAUCUAGACCAUUUAAAUUAUCUAGAAAUUAAAUUUCAUAAUUUUUUGGCAUCACUAACUGAACGAUUAAAGGGUCACAAAAUCUAUAAUUUUAAUGGCCGAUAUGGUGCGUUUGCUCGUUUAACGAUAUAGAAGAGUUCAAAUCCACUAAAUUUUUCUUAAAAAAUUCUUUAAACUAUUUAAAAUAAGAUCUAGACUCUAUAUCUCAAAUAUAAAAAUUGUAUCAUCGCUUUUUGAAGGAUAUUCAUUUCUAGCCAUUCAUUUUUCUGUUCACUUGAUGGACAAGAGAACAAUAUAAAAAAUGAGUGAAAUUUGAUUUCCAGAUAGUUUAAAUAGUUUAGAUCAUGUUUAACGGUGCCGAUCAUCAAUUUAGAAGCUCUAUCAUCGAAAAUAAAUCGGUAGUAAACGGCUCGGUUUACUACCGAUAGUAUUCUAGCAAAACUAUAUAUAUAUAUAGAGAGAGAGUUAGGCUCCUAUGCUUUCGAAAGUACGGGAGGCCCCGUGCUUGUAAGUUGUUUUUGAUGAUGGGACAUCCGAUUCGGCGAUCGGUUCCGUUAAACUUGAUCUACGCUAUUGGAACUAUCUAGAAACCAAAUUUCAUAAUUUUUUGAUUUCGUUUGUCUAGUGAACGAGUAGCCUCAAAAUGAACGGCUGAAAAUGAAAAUCUCAUAAAAAUAAUGAUAAAAGAUUCAAAUUUUAAAUCGGAAGUAUUGAUCUUGCUACUGAUGUUAAGUAGAAUUUUCUAUUAAAUUUUCAUGUAAUUUGGAUACUUCUACACCGUUGAAUUUAAAAAUGCGCCACAUCAACCGUUAAAAUAGUCAUUUUUUAGACCUUUUGAUCGCUUAGUAAAUGAUGUCAAAAAAAUCUAAAAUUUGGUUUCUAGAUAGUUCCAAUAGGGUAAAUCAUACCUAACGGAGCCGAUCGUCGAAUCGAACGUCCUAUCAUCGAAAACAACUUACAAGCACGGAGCCUCCCGUACUUUCGAAAGUACGGGAGACGGACUAUAUAUAUAUAUAUAUAUAUAUAUAUAU
Molecule: long non-coding RNA, 1483 nt
Filed under: Ananas comosus (pineapple)
Lineage: Eukaryota; Viridiplantae; Streptophyta; Magnoliopsida; Poales; Bromeliaceae
Description: long non-coding RNA (ACOM_LNC013751)
Source: RNAcentral